RNAcentral lists this ribosomal RNA (440 nucleotides) under uncultured bacterium. Its description in RNAcentral is "partial 16S ribosomal RNA". It matches the Rfam family "Bacterial small subunit ribosomal RNA", at positions 338 to 795 of the family's 1533-position model. The record is from RNAcentral.
CCUACGGGAGGCAGCAGUGGGGAAUAUUGCACAAUGGGGGGAACCCUGAUGCAGCGACGCCGCGUGGGUGAAGAAGCGCCUCGGCGCGUAAAGCCCUGUCAGCAGGGAAGAAAAUGACGGUACCUGAAGAAGAAGCCCCGGCUAACUACGUGCCAGCAGCCGAGGGAAUACGUAGGGGGCAAGCGUUAUCCGGAUUUACUGGGUGUAAAGGGGGCGCAGACGGCGAUGCAAGCCAGGAGUGGAAGCCCGGGGCCCAACCCCGGGACUGCUCUUGGAAGUGCGUGGCUGGAGUGCAGGAGGGGCAGGCGGAAUUCCUGGUGUAGCGGUGAAAUGCGUAGAUAUCAGGAGGAACACCGGUGGCGAAGGCGACCUGCUGGACUGCCACUGACGUUGAGGCCCGAAAGCGUGGGGAGCAAACAGGAUUAGAUACCCGUGUAGUC